UCCCUCUCCUGACCUCUCGUCUCUCUCUCACGACCUGGGCGGUUGUGUAGCCACCGUCGAACACCACCAUCCAUGGAACGCCGCCUCCUCUUUGCCUAACCGCCACCAUCCUCUUUCUCACGUUUACCCUCAAGAUGCAAUAGGGAGGGCUCCACUCCCAGAUCGAUCACGGCGCUACACCACUGAGAUCUGAACCAAAUUUAUUCCUACAUCAUGUGUGGAUUCCUUGGUUGCGCCACCGCCAGAUCCAGUCUUGCUAGAUCACCCGGGCGGAGGCAGGGUGAGCACCUCCUGGCAACCCUAAGCCAAGCUAGAUUCUUGUGAAUCCACGAUGCAAGGAGUCCCCCCAAGCGGCUCAGAGGGGCUGGCGUGGAGAUAGUCGGGAAGGAUGCGUUGCCAUGGUGACCACAACGAGGUUUCAGUGCAUCCACGGACGCUCGGCAACUUCGCAUGGGGCUAACUCCAAGCUGGGUUCAUCGGCUCCACUGUGUUUGUCCGCCACCAACACACUCAUUCUUGCCUAGGUCGUUCCUCUCCUUGGUGUGUAACGGACUGUGGUUCAGGUUGAAUACUCAGCAAGCUUAGCCCAUCAUUGACGCCUUCUGGGUUGAUUUAAAAUUGGGAUAAUAGGUUUCUUGAUUGUUAUCAUGGUAACCUUUUUUUUCUGUGAGGUGAGGAUUUCACAUUGGUUCUGAUCAACGAUUGAGAGUAAGCUUAAUUAUGUUCCAUCUGAAAAAAGAUAGGUAUAAUUUUAAAUUUCCGUAAUGUUUUUUACAUUGUGAUGAUGACGUUAAUUGUUGCUACUCUACUUCGCAUACAUCAAUUUAAUUUCAUAUUCAUGGCUUUGUAACGUGUUGAGAGGGAGUAUAACAUCAUGGCCGAUGCUAUAUAUUGUAGUACUAAUUCCAGUCGAGCCAUGAUUAUAUUUUUGGAGGAUGUUGAACUCAACGGGUCAUAUUCUUAAUGAUUAUUUCGGAUCCUCUAUUUGCCGAGGGCCCAUCGGUCAUGAAAUCAACUACGGGUGAUUUUAAUCUAUAUGCAUCCUCACGUCUGGGGAAAAAUGAGAAUGGAAACCUUCACCAUGGAGGAUUUCCCAGAGAAUAUAAGGGGUGUUAAUUACAAGGCUCUAGGAGAACUGUUCAGGGUGUGUGAGCACAAAAAAACACAGAAGACAACUGUGAAAUCAACAUGAAAGGUAUAUUUCCUUUCUUAAUUAUUAAUCUUGAGUUUAUAUUCACAGAGUAAUACCUUGUUCCAUUCAAAGGUUGGAUAAAAAGCAGGGGACAAAAUAGGUGCUUGAUUUUACUGAAUCUGCAAUUUAUUUUUAUUUUUGAGUUGUGAAGCUCCAGUACAAUAAAACGUGUGUGGAAGAAAAUGAAAGCUGAGGUGUCAUUUCAUUCAUGUUUGCUUUGUAAUACUCCUAUUUAGCAGAGCAAUUGGCUCAAGUAUAAGCACAAAAACACAGGAUGUGCCACAACAGAACUUAUUAACUAUGUGGUGCCACAACAAAACAGUUAUCCAUCAACAAACAAAAGAUCGAUAAGGCUUGACCAACUUCACACUAUUCCCCUGCGUGUCAGCUAACUUUUAGUUUAAUUACUAAGAUAUUUAUGUGUUGGUUCAGGCAAAUUUACAAGCAUGUUUCAAAUCUUCAUAUAUUUAUAGAAAUUCCUAUCUUUUUAUAGCAAAUAUAGCAAAUAUAGAAGGGCGCGGCAACGCGCGCCAGCAUGGUCUCUAGUUGAGAACAGUAAAACUGCAUCUAAUCCCUGCCCUCUCAGUAAUUAGGCAUUUCUGGCCGUUGGAUUUCAUUAACUUGGCAUUCUUCACCGUUGGAUCUUCAGUUAGCUGUACCUUAAUCGCGAAGUGGGCUAAAUGUCGCAAGGGCAGGGAAGUACCUCUUCGUGAUUCAGGGCAACCUCUACCUGGUUGCCUAAUUCUCCAUCUUGCCUUUUUCAUGACUAAUUUCUACAUUUCCUGACGGCCAGGCAGUCGAAGCCCUAGCACGCACUCCAGCAGCACGGCGCAGGCCUCCUGCACCACCUGCAUGGCGCAAUGCUUUGAGCUUCUCUUAGCGGCUUGGAGGUGAAGCCAAGGUGGAAGGGAAGGUUUUACUGUAAUGCUCGAUCUUACAUCUUGUAUCGACAGUGGUGGCCAGCAGUGGGAAGCUUACUGAAAUCAACUUAUAUGGUCCGAUCCCCUCUCUACUUCUUUAAACAAUGUUCAAAGCAUACAAAGUAUGCUUAAUUAUUCGUUUCGCAGAAAUAAGGUCUGGAAUAUUUUCCUGCAAAAUAUAAAGGUCAGUAACAUAAAUAUUUGGAUGGUGAAGCUUUCACUGGUGCUCCGUGCACUGAUCGUCCGACAAGCGGGGCAACGGCAGCCACGGCGCGCGGUGGCUGGCUUUGCUCAAGCAAACUAUCUUCCCAAUUAAGUUUUUGUGCCCCGUGUUUCUUGAAGCUAUCCAGAAUUUGAUUUCUUUGACAGUGUACAUGUCAUGUGUUUGAUGCAAUGCACAAGAGGAACCAUUGUGCUCAACGGUCUUUAUUCUCUAUAUGUGCGAAGAGCCGAGGAUUACAUCAUGGACUCAGUACAGCAUAUGCCAUUAACCUCCAUUGUCCAUUGAUGUAACGGAUGUUCAUAUCAACUUACCGUACCAUUUAUGUUUCAGGUACAAUGUGUAGGCUCAAGAGCUACCGGAGUUGUCCGCUUCUUAAUAUUUGGACAGUUGAAUUCAGGAAUAUAUGAGACACGCAUUUGAAUUAAGAGAUGGAGAAUCUGAUUAUACCUUGCAAAAGGUGCUCCGGUAGGGGAAACUGCUACUUUUGACAAUAAAAUAGAUGCCAUCAUAUCAGUGUAUUGUUAGCCAGAAAUUUCUCGAGCUUAUAAUUUCUAGGCAUUUAAGUAUUCAAUUUGUGUAAAUGGUGCUAGAUUCAGAGCUUAGAGUGGUAAGUGUAUUAUUACCCUGCAUUUUUGCUUGGUCAUAUAGGUUAUAGAAGUAUCAGAUUCGACUAUAAAGUUGUGCACAGUUCACUUAUAACAUAUAUUUUACUGUCCUUAAUGACCAGGCAAAUAACAUCAAUGUUACUGGGCUGCAGGCAUCCUCCUUCUGCUGCGAUGAUGCAUAGUGCAUUAUGAUUUCAUAAUAUUCCUUUUACACCGAUCUCCUGAAGUUAAACAUGAAUGCAGACAUGAAGAAUUAUUAUGGAAGUACUACAAAAGCAAGCAUUUUUAGGUGGUUUAGAAACUUCUGUCAGAAAUUUCCUAUGUGGUGUUCAAGUUAUAAAGUAAAAUCAAUACCUUUUGGUGGAUCACCUUUUUUCA
This is a long non-coding RNA of Triticum aestivum (bread wheat), 3318 nucleotides long. RefSeq lists it as uncharacterized. The transcript has 2 exons. Lineage: Eukaryota; Viridiplantae; Streptophyta; Magnoliopsida; Poales; Poaceae. The record is from RefSeq and is a predicted model, not a curated record.